Molecule: long non-coding RNA, 1365 nt
Filed under: Pan paniscus (pygmy chimpanzee)
Lineage: Eukaryota; Metazoa; Chordata; Mammalia; Primates; Hominidae
Description: lncRNA (ENSPPAG00000044715.1)
Source: RNAcentral
UUUGUUCUUGCUGAGGAAAUACUCAUGUUUCCUGUUUCCAUGCCCUAGGUGUCUGCAGCACAACAGCCAACACUUCUGGAGCACAUGGCCCUGCAGUGAAGGAUUCUGGAGCUCACAUUUGUCUGAAGGGGAUCCGAGGAGGUUCUGUCUUGUUGAAUGUGAUUGAGAAGCUCAGAGUAGAUGUAGACGCCGAGCUGGAGGAGGUUGUAUGGACUUUGGGUAUUCUGUCAAAUCAUACACAGGUGCUGUGAGUCCACAGGGGGGCCGACUCUCCAACCUGGGUCGGCCUUGAGGAAAAGUUCAAGCAGAGGGUCCAUGUGCCUAGCAGAGGGUCCAUGUGUUGUCUCUGAGGAUUGAGAACCUGGCCCCUGAUGACAGUGGGCAGUACAUGGCCAUGAUCCACUUAACUGGGGGACAAUUAUCUGGCCAGGUUUUCUACCUCACUGUCUAUGAGCCUGUGCCUCAUCCUGAGAUCCUGGCCAAGUCACUGUCUAUCAUACCAGGCUUGUGUAACAUCACCCUGGAGUGCAGGGCUCCAGGAGCCACAGAGGACCUGAAUGUGACUUGGGAGAGCAAGGACCUCCUCAGAGAGCUGGAGCACAGAGAAACACGAGGACCAGCCCCUAACCCCUGGAUCCUGGCUGUGAACCUGCCCCUGAGCCAGCGGAACAGCAAUCUCACCUGUGUGGUCAGCAACUAGGUAGAUCAGAAAGAUGUAACCUUACCUUGGGGAAGCCUGUGUCAAGGUUCAUGUAGACUGGACAUGGCUCUCCUUCGCGAGAUAUUCUUGGAGUCAUUGCAUUUGUGCUGUUGAUCCUGAGAGCUGGGCUAUACCUCUGGAAGAAACGUGGGAAGAAGAAGAAGAAGAAAGAUGAGGAGGAAGAAGAGGAGGAGGAGCAGAAGGAGGAGGAGGAGCGGGAGGAGGCAGGAAUAGGCAGGUUGCAUUUCUCCAUCGAGGCCCAGAUAUCUCCCCUCCCCCACUAGAAUCUGGGUUCUCUUUCUCCUGAAAGAAUGUCAUUGUUUAGCUAUAUGAAUAACCCUAGAUAUAGCAUUGAGUUAACAUGUCCAAGAUAUUUGUUACUGGGAAAAACUGAACAGCAAUGCAUGGUAUGAUUUAAUUUUUGUAAAAGUGUAUAGAUAGGUAGAUAGAAAGAUAAGCACAGAAUAAAAUCUAUGCUACAUGACAGAUUACCAACAGUGGCUCACUCAGAGGUGAGGAAUUCCUCAAGGUUUGCUUCUUUUUAGUUUAUAUAUGUAAUGUAAUAUUUUAUGUUAUUUGAAUCUUUUCAAUGCUCAGUCACUGUGAAGUCAAAGGAAACAAUUAAGACAAUUUUGUAGCUUAAUUCCAUUUAGCUAAUUAAUCCC